This 408-nucleotide ribosomal RNA is filed under the name uncultured bacterium. Its description in RNAcentral is "partial 16S ribosomal RNA". It matches the Rfam family "Bacterial small subunit ribosomal RNA", at positions 28 to 526 of the family's 1533-position model. The record is from RNAcentral.
GACGAACGCUGGCGGCGUGCUUAACACAUGCAAGUCGAACGGAGUGGCGAACGGGUGAGUAACACGUGGGUGAUCUGCCUUGCACUUCGGGAUAAGCUUGGGAAACUGGGUCUAAUACCGGAUAGUGCAAGAUGAGCUCGCGGCCUAUCAGCUUGUUGGUGGGGUAAUGGCCUACCAAGGCGUCGACGGGUAGCCGGCCUGAGAGGGUGUACGGGCACAGUGGGACUGGGGUAAGGGCCAGGCUCCUACGGGGGGCAGCAGGUGGGAAUAUUGCACAAUUGGGGGGAGUCUGAUGCAGGGACGCCGGGGGGGGGAUGAAGGCCUUCGGGUUGUAAACUCCUUUCGACAGGGACGCGGUACCUGUAUAAGAAGCACCGGCUAACUACGUGCCAGCAGCCGCGGUAAUAC